Molecule: unclassified non-coding RNA, 254 nt
Filed under: uncultured Verrucomicrobiota bacterium
Lineage: Bacteria; Pseudomonadati; Verrucomicrobiota
Description: uncultured Verrucomicrobia bacterium contains 16S-23S intergenic spacer region
Rfam family: Bacterial small subunit ribosomal RNA
Source: RNAcentral
UACGAAGGUCCCGUGCGUUGUUCGGAAUCACUGGGCGUAAAGGGAGCGUAGGCGGUGUGGUUAGUCAGAUGUGAAAUACCGGGGCUCAACCCCGGAACUGCAUCCGAUACUGCCGUGCUUAGAGGAUUGGAGAGGUAGCUGGAAUUCUUGGUGUAGCAGUGAAAUGCGUGGAUAUCAAGAGGAACACUCGUGGCGAAAGCGAGCUACUGGACAACUCCUGACGCUGAGGCUCGAAGGCCAGGGUAGCGAAAGGG